This 491-nucleotide unclassified non-coding RNA is filed under the name Hevea brasiliensis (rubber tree). Lineage: Eukaryota; Viridiplantae; Streptophyta; Magnoliopsida; Malpighiales; Euphorbiaceae. The record is from RNAcentral.
CUACUAAGAAAGAGGCUUACUUACUGGAAUUGGAUUUUUUCAGUAAAGUUUCACAUCCUAGAUUGGUUCCCCUUUUGGGACACUGCUUGGAGAAUGAGAAUGAGAAGUUCUUGAUUUACAAAUAUAUGCCAAAUGGGGAUUUGUCAAGUUCCUUUUAUAGGAAAACCAGUUCAGAAGAUAAUAGUUUACAGUCAUUAGAUUGGAUUACACGAUUGAAAAUUGCGAUAGGAGCAGCGGAAGGUCUAUCUUGUCUGCAUCAUGAGUGUACACCGCCCAUAGUACACAGAGAUGUUCAAGCAAGCAGUAUACUCCUUGAUGAUAAAUUUGAAGUGCGCCUUGGAAGCCUAAGUGAAGUUUGUCCUCAAGAUGGGGAUAUCCAUCAAAACAGGAUUACCAGGUCAUCGGAGCAAGGCACUUCUGGUUCAGUGACAGCAACAUGUGCCUAUGAUAUUUACUGCUUUGGGAGAGUAUUACUUGAGCUGGUAACGGGG